Molecule: long non-coding RNA, 1599 nt
Organism: Numida meleagris (helmeted guineafowl)
Lineage: Eukaryota; Metazoa; Chordata; Aves; Galliformes; Numididae
Source: Ensembl
CUGCCUUUUCCAGCAUGAGAUUAUUCACUCGACGAUGUCACGACUCCCAAGUCUGAUGUCAUGGUUGUUUCCACAGCAACCAAAUUGAAUCAAGGAAUUAAAAACCAGGAGGAACUCACACAGAAUGGCAACACAACACAGGAGUGCCAUGAAGCAAGCCAUACCCUGCACAUGAUCCAAGAUCUCAACACGCCCAGCUGGUACAGUGCUAGCAUAGCUCAGCGAGGAAUAGCACAGCAUUGGAAACUCAGCACCUUGGCAUUGCACUGCUUUCUGAAUCCUGAUUAAAGGACACAAAAACGUGGUGGCACUGCAGGACUACUCCCGCUGGGGAUUAGGGUAGGGUUGCAGGGAGUGUCUCCUCCCACUGCAGCCCCUGUUUCCAUGCAGCCUCAGGGCACCUGGUGCAACCUCUGCCCACCUACAGGUGCCCAGCAGAGCUGCAGCUCCCCUUGGCCUGUGCAAUAUUCAGUGCUCAGAGACUGUGCUGCUCCUUGCUGGAGGAAGCCUGUAUUGCUAAUGGGAGAGGACAGAAGGAUGCAAGAUGAGCUGCUGUGCCAAGACUGCAUCAUUCUUUUCAGCCUCAGAGGUUUCCCCUAGACCCUCCUGCACUCAUCUUCCUCACCUGCAGGAGAUGCAUGCCUUGCCUUUCACUUGCCACAUGCAUCCUGCUCACUGUGCUUCAGUUUCUGAUGAUGCUGAAUACUCUCUUGCCCAACCCAAAGCCCCAAACCACCCCACUGUCCCACCCCUGUGUGAUACACCCUUUUCAGCACCCCACUGCAAAUGCUGGAGCAAAAAGUCCUGCUCCCCUAGCCAGACUGGGGCGAUCCAUGGCACACAGAGCAGGCAGCCCUCCUCAUAUGAAGGCUGCUUGAAGGAGAGUAUUUUUGCUGUGUCAGCAUCUCUGCUUCUCUAUCCCCUGUGUUUGCUGAUUGCAUCCUUGAAGCGUCACUGUCACGUUAGGUUUUCAGCAUGGAGCUGAGCCCUGAGCUCGGAGGGACAUGGAAAUCUGGGGAGGUCUUCUUCAGCAGAGUGCGAGAGGGGACAAAAAAAAAAGAGAAAGAGAAGGAACAACAUCUGCCUCCUCCUCCUGCCUUCUCCUUCCAUUCAACAGCAAGGCUCUUGCUCGAUUGGUAUGUGAUUGCUGAUGCUGUGAGAAGUGCUUGGGAGCCACCAGGUCAGGAUAAAGAGUCAGCACUGCCUACUCUGGGGCAAGGUGGAGGAACUUGGCAGAACCCCAGGACCUGGCAGCACACUCCUGGCAGUGCAGGAACCGAUGCUCGCACCAAGGAUGUGCCAUUCUCCAAAUCACUGCUGCUCACAGAGCUGCUGAAGAUAAACUUGACCUGUGUUACUGUGUCCAUCCUUUGGGUAUGCUGGAGAAAUCACUCCAGCUCUGUUCAACACCUGGGGCUGCACGUGGACUUCUAAUUAGAGGAGGCUGGUUCAUCAAGUAAAGCCCUGCUCCUCGCGCAGCGUGUGCCACAGGAUUCAGCACAACAUCGGCCUCCUUCAAAAAGGUGUUGCUCAGAAAUUCUACACAAAUAAGAAUCCAGUUCUUUGGAUUCUGUAUGAAAAAAUACCGACUGCUGUGAU